CCUACGGGAGGCAGCAGUGAGGAAUAUUGGUCAAUGGCCGGAAGGCUGAACCAGCCAUGCCGCGUGAAGGUCAGUGCCCUAUGGGUUGUAAACCUCUUUUGUCGGGGAGCAAAGCGAGUCACGUGUGACUCAUUGAGAGUACCCGAAGAAAAAGCAUCGGCUAACUCCGUGCCAGCAGCCGCGGUAAUACGGAGGAUGCGAGCGUUAUCCGGAUUUAUUGGGGUUAAAGGGUGCGCAGGCGGAGGUGCAAGUCAGCGGUCAAAUUGCGGGGCUCAACCCCGUACUGCCGUUGAAACUGCAUCCCUUGAGUGCGCGAGAAGUAUGCGGAAUGCGUGGUGUAGCGGUGAAAUGCAUAGAUAUCACGCAGAACUCCGAUUGCGAAGGCAGCAUACCGGCGCGCAACUGACGCUCAUGCACGAAAGCGUGGGUAUCGAACAGGAUUAGAUACCCUAGUAGUC
RNAcentral lists this ribosomal RNA (458 nucleotides) under uncultured bacterium. RNAcentral describes it as "partial 16S ribosomal RNA". It matches the Rfam family "Bacterial small subunit ribosomal RNA", at positions 338 to 795 of the family's 1533-position model. The record is from RNAcentral.